GUCCCGGUUGCCGAUGGUGAGGCUAGCGGAUUCCAAACCCGCGAUUGGGUGUUCGAAUCACCCCCGGGGCGCCA
Molecule: transfer RNA, 74 nt
Filed under: Acidobacteriota bacterium
Lineage: Bacteria; Pseudomonadati; Acidobacteriota
Description: Acidobacteria bacterium tRNA-Trp
Rfam family: tRNA
About the family: Transfer RNA (tRNA) molecules are approximately 80 nucleotides in length. Their secondary structure includes four short double-helical elements and three loops (D, anti-codon, and T loops).
Source: RNAcentral